UGGUUGAUCCUGCCAGAGGCGACCGCUUUUGGAGUUCGAUUAAGCCAUGCGAGUCGAGAGUCUUAGGGACUCGGCAUACUGCUCAGUAACACGUGGAUAACCUGCCCUAUCGUCUGGAAUAACCUCGGGAAACUGAGAAUAAGGCCGGAUAGUUCACAUAGCCUGGAACGGUUUGUGAAUCAAGGUAGGAUGGGUCUGCGGCGUAUCAGGUAGUAGGGGGUGUAAAGGACCCCCUAGCCUUCGACGCGUACGGGUGUUGGGAGACAUAGCCCGGAGAUGGAUUCUGAGACACGAAUCCAGACCCUACGGGGUGCAGCAGGCGCGAAAACUUCACACUGCAGGAAACUGUGAUGAGGGAACUCCAAGUGUGUGCACUAUGUGUACACUUUUAUGAACUUUUAAUCGGUUCAGGAAUAAGGGCUGGGAAAGACCGGUGCCAGCCGCCGCGGUAAUACCGGCAGCUCAAGUGGUCGUCGCUUUUAUUGGGCCUAAAACGUCCGUAGCCUGUUUGGUAAAUCUGUGGGUAAAUCAACUCGCUCAACGAGUUGAAUUCUGCAGAGACUGCCAGACUAGGGACCGGGAGAGGUGUGGGGUACUCGAGGGGUAGGGGUAAAAUCCUGUCAUCCUUCGAGGACCACCAGUUGCGAAGGCGCCACACUGGAACGGAUCCGACGGUCAGGGACGAAGCCUAGGGGCACGAACCGGAUUAGAUACCCGGGUAGUCCUAGGUGUAAACGCUGUGAACUUGGUGUCGGGGGUCCGCAAGGGGUCCCCGGUGCCGGAGUGAAGAUGUUAAGUUCACUGCCUGGGGAGUACGGUCGCAAGGCUGAAACUUAAAGGAAUUGGCGGGGGAGCACUGCAACGGGAGGAGCGUGCGGUUUAAUUGGACUCAACGCCGGGA
RNAcentral lists this ribosomal RNA (901 nucleotides) under uncultured Candidatus Poseidoniales archaeon. RNAcentral describes it as "bacterial SSU rRNA". It matches the Rfam family "Archaeal small subunit ribosomal RNA", at positions 5 to 923 of the family's 1478-position model. Lineage: Archaea; Methanobacteriati; Thermoplasmatota; Candidatus Poseidoniia; Candidatus Poseidoniales. The record is from RNAcentral.